This 239-nucleotide ribosomal RNA is filed under the name uncultured bacterium. Its description in RNAcentral is "partial 16S ribosomal RNA". It matches the Rfam family "Bacterial small subunit ribosomal RNA", at positions 109 to 334 of the family's 1533-position model. The record is from RNAcentral.
AGUAACACGUGGAUAAUCUACCCGACAAUCAGGGAUAACAUUUCGAAAGGAACGCUAAUACCUGAUAAGCCUACGCCCUCCUCGGAGGAAGUAGGAAAAGGUGGGGACCUUCGGGCCUGCCGUUGUUGGAUGAGUCCGCGGCCCAUUAGCUAGUUGGUAGGGUAAUGGCCUACCAAGGCUACGAUGGGUAGCUGGUCUGAGAGGAUGAUCAGCCACACUGGAACUGAGACACGGUCCAG